Cyprinodon tularosa is the source of this 521-nucleotide long non-coding RNA. RefSeq lists it as uncharacterized. Lineage: Eukaryota; Metazoa; Chordata; Actinopteri; Cyprinodontiformes; Cyprinodontidae. The transcript is spliced from 2 exons. The record is from RefSeq and is a predicted model, not a curated record.
GCAGAGGAAAAGCAGCUGAUGUCUUCAUCAAAUGGCCCAGUAAUCUGAGCAACGAAAUUGUGUGGGGAAAGAUUUCUGACACCACACAGAAGUGUCUUGCGGAUGAAGAGGUAGGCAGUGGUUCAGGAAUAAUUUCUUUGAUGUCAUCCAAAUAAUACCAUACCUUCUCACCAGCAAACCUUAUUGAUGGUAUGUAGAAGCGAUUGUCUCCCGCACAGCUCAUUGUAUCAACCUCAUACUGACCACUGGCAAUCUGGAUUAAUGAAGCAAAAAAAUGUUAUCAACUGUGUUUUUCAAAGACAAUUUGAUUAUUACAUAAUCAUUACCCUGAUAUUACAUGUUGACAAUCUGAAUCCAAUACUUGCACACCUGACUUCCCAUUCUCCACUCAGUCUUAAACCUACCUGUGUUACUGUGCCAGGAUAGAGGUCUCCGUCAUAGUCCACAAGGACCCAUGUUCCUACUUUGAUGGUCUCUUCAGAUUCCCUUUGCGUGAAAACAAACUCCUUUGGAGAGAAGCA